RNAcentral lists this ribosomal RNA (117 nucleotides) under Pteropus alecto (black flying fox). RNAcentral also lists the same sequence under 1 other name. Lineage: Eukaryota; Metazoa; Chordata; Mammalia; Chiroptera; Pteropodidae. The record is from RNAcentral.
AUCUAUGGUCAUGCCACCCUAAACAAGCCCCCACGUCUGAUCUCGGAAGCUAAGCAGGGUCGGGCCUGGUUAAUACUUGGAUGAGAGACUACCUAGGAAGACCAAGUGCUGUAGGCG